Molecule: ribosomal RNA, 468 nt
Filed under: uncultured bacterium
Lineage: Bacteria
Description: partial 16S ribosomal RNA
Rfam family: Bacterial small subunit ribosomal RNA
Source: RNAcentral
GAUGAACGCUGGCGGCGUGCUUAACACAUGCAAGUCGAACGGAAAGGCCCAAGCUUGCUUGGGUACUCGAGUGGCGAACGGGUGAGUAACACGUGGGUGAUCUGCCCUGCACUUCGGGAUAAGCCUGGGAAACUGGGUCUAAUACCGGAUAGGACGAUGGUUUGGAUGCCAUUGUGGAAAGUUUUUUCGGUGUGGGAUGAGCUCGCGGCCUAUCAGCUUGUUGGUGGGGUAAUGGCCUACCAAGGCGUCGACGGGUAGCCGGCCUGAGAGGGUGUACGGCCACAUUGGGACUGAGAGACGGCCCAGACUCCGACGGGAGGCAGCAGUGGGGAAUAUUGCACAAUGGGCGCAAGCCUGAUGCAGCGACGCCGCGUGGGGGAUGACGGCCUUCGGGUUGUAAACUCCUAUCGCUAGGGACGAAGCGUUUUUGUGACGGUACCUGGAGAAGAAGCACCGGCUAACUACGUG